CCAACAGGGAUUGCCUCAGUAACGGCGAGUGAAGCGGCAACAGCUCAAAUUUGAAAUCUGACCUUCUUGGUCCGAGUUGUAAUUUGUAGAAGGUGUCUCGGGGACGAUGUCGGUUUAAGUUCCUUGGAACAGGGCGUCAUAGAGGGUGAGAAUCCCGUACGUUACCGAUCGUCAACCCCAUGUGAGACCCUUUCGACGAGUCGAGUUGUUUGGGAAUGCAGCUCAAAAUGGGUGGUAAAUUUCAUCUAAAGCUAAAUACCGGCCAGAGACCGAUAGCGCACAAGUAGAGUGAUCGAAAGAUGAAAAGCACUUUGAAAAGAGAGUUAAAAAGUAUGUGAAAUUGUUGAAAGGGAAGCGCUUGCAACCAGACUUGCUCGCGGGUGUUCAGCCGUCCCUCGGGGCGGUGCACUCUCCCGUGAUCAGGCCAGCAUCGGUUUCGGCGGUUGGAUAAAGAUUUCGAGAAUGUAGCUUCCUUUGGGGAGUGUUAUAGCUCGUUUUGUAAUGCAGCCAGCCGGGACCGAGGACCGCGCUUUUGCUAGGAUGCUGGCGUAAUGGUUGUAAGCGACCCGUCUUGAAACACGGACCAAGGAGUCGAUCAACUGUACGAGUGUUUGGGUGUCAAACCCUCUCGCGUAAUGAAAGUAAACGGAGGUGAGAGCCUUUACAGGUGCAUCAUCGACCGAUCCAAAUGUCUUCGGAUGGAUUUGAGUAUGAGUAUUGUUGAUCGGACCCGAAAGAUGGUGAACUAUACGUGAAUAGAGUGAAGUCAGAGGAAACUCUGAUGGAGGCUCGCAGCGGUUCUGACGUGCAAAUCGAUCGUCAAAUUUGCGUAUAGGGGCGAAAGACUAAUCGAACCAUCUAGUAGCUGGUUUCGCUCGAAGUUUCCCUCAGGAUAGCAGUAACGUUUAUAGAUUCAUGAGGUAAAGCAACGAAUGGAGGCCUUGGGGUUGAAACAACCUUAACCUACUCUCGAACUUUAAAUAUGUGAGAAGUCCUUGUUACUUAAUUGAACGUGGACAUUCGAUUAUACCGUUACUAGUGGGCCAUUUUUGGUAAGCAGAACUGGCGAUGGGAGAUGAAUCCAACGUGAGGUUAAGGUGCCGGAAUGUACGCUUAUCAGACACCACAAAAGGUGUUAGCACAUCUAGACAGCAGGACGGUGGCCAUGGAAGUCGGAAUCCGCUAAGGAGUGUGUAACAACUCACCUGCCGAAUGUGCUAGCCCUGAAAAUGGAUGGCGCUCAAGCGUGCUACCCAUACCUCGCCGCCAGGGUAGAAACGAUGCCCUGGCGAGUAGGGCGACGUGGAGG
Molecule: ribosomal RNA, 1309 nt
Filed under: Phlyctis argena
Lineage: Eukaryota; Fungi; Ascomycota; Lecanoromycetes; Phlyctidaceae
Description: eukaryotic LSU rRNA
Rfam family: Eukaryotic large subunit ribosomal RNA
Source: RNAcentral